Molecule: small nuclear RNA, 103 nt
Organism: Fukomys damarensis (Damara mole-rat)
Lineage: Eukaryota; Metazoa; Chordata; Mammalia; Rodentia; Bathyergidae
Source: Ensembl
UUGCUUUGGCAGCACACAUACUAAAAUUGGAACGAUAUAGAGAAGAUUAGUAUGGCCCUUGUGCAAGGAUGACAUGCAAAUUCAUGAAGCGUUCCAUAUUAAA